UGGGCCUUAGGCCUAAGUCUGGAACCAACGACGAUCCGCUUUUACCCUUCAUGUGAGCUGAAGCAAGGAAUGGGAGAAGGAAAGCGCUGGUGCCAAAAAGCUCAUGCGGUGCGAUGAUUCCAAAGCUUCUUCGUGUUUAUGCAGGGUGGACCGAAUCGAGAGUGAAGGUGGAAGAGUGCAUAUUGAGAAUUCCUCAAUUCUGAGAUGCGAUGAAAUAUGUAGAAACCGUGAGAAGCGAGAAUUCCGAUAAUUUGCGGAGUGCAGAGAUGAAAUUACAAAGUGAGAAAAAAAGCAUACGCAGUUCUGAAAAAUCCUUCUCUCAUUGUGAUGAAGUCAGGUUUUAUAGCCUUAAAAUUCUGUUAUGAAAUCCAGGCCCAAACUCAAUUCAAAUGCACUUGAAAUUCACAUUCAGUUCCAAAUUCAGAAUUCUAUUGUAGUUUGUUAGAAAUUCAAACUCACGUAAAAUUGAGAUGUAAUGUUAAAUGAAACACUAUUUGAUUUUUCCUGCGGUGGUAAUUAGUGUGCAGAAUUUUGAUUAAUUGUUGUUAGAUGCAUAAUUAUGACCUGCUAGGCUUUUACCUUCUUGGAUGUAGCAGGUUUUAUUCAAUGAUGAUGACCUGUUACUACAGGUUUAGCAAGGUAAUAGCAUGUUGAGUGGUUAGGUUUUGGAGCAACUUUGAGCAAUGCUAUUGUAUCCCUGCUGCAAGUCUGCAUGGUUUUUUCUCUUCCAAUUUCUGUUGAAACUCAAAACUACUCAUGUUGGGGCUAUUAUGACAUGUGAAUAAAUGUUGUUAAUAACUAGGCUGAAAAUCCAAAUCAGGCCACAAAUAUGAAGCUAUGCAUAUGGAUGACACUUGAAGAAAAUUGCGAUUGGGAAUUAGGGAUGUAGGGAAAUGGUAGAUUAGGACUAGUUUUGAUCAUGUUGAAGAUUUGAAAUGGUGUAAUGUAUAGGGAUGAUUUUGAUUGUAAUCUUUGGAUGUAAAGUACAAAUUUAUGAAAAAGGAAGUUAAAUGGAAAUGGUAGCUUGAGAAUUUGGAAUUUUGUAAACUGUAAUGUUGAAGUCUUGAUGAAAUACUAUGUAACUUUAUAUGGGAAUGGAAUUGGAAUUUGUUUUAUGUA
Long non-coding RNA from Lathyrus oleraceus (garden pea), 1119 nucleotides. RefSeq lists it as uncharacterized. The record is from RefSeq and is a predicted model, not a curated record. Lineage: Eukaryota; Viridiplantae; Streptophyta; Magnoliopsida; Fabales; Fabaceae. The transcript is spliced from 2 exons.